AUUUCGGUACGUAAAGUUCUUUUAUUAGGGAAGAAUAAAUGAUGGAAAAAUCAUUCUGACGGUACCUAAUGAAUAAGCCCCGGCUAACUAUGUGCCAGCAGCCGCGGUAAUACAUAGGGGGCAAGCGUUAUCCGGAAUUAUUGGGCGUAAAGGGUGCGUAGGCGGUUAAAUAAGUUUAUGGUCUAAGUGCAAUGCUUAACAUUGUGAUGCUAUAAAAACUGUUUAACUAGAGUAAGAUAGAGGCAAGUGGAAUUCCAUGUGUAGUGGUAAAAUGCGUAAAUAUAUGGAGGAACACCAGUAGCGAAGGCGGCUUGCUGGGUCUUUACUGACGCUGAGGCACGAAAGCGUGGGGAGCAAACAGGAUUAGAUACCCUGGUAGUCCACGCCGUAAACGAUGAGUACUAAAUGUUGGGUAAAACCAGUGUUGAAGUUAACACAUUAAGUACUCCGCCUGAGUAGUACGUACGCAAGUAUGAAACUUAAAGGAAUUGACGGGACUCCGCACAAGCGGUGGAUCAUGUUGUUUAAUUCGAAGGUACCCGAAAAACCUCACCAGGUCUUGACAUGCUUCUGCAAAGCUGUAGAAACACAGUGGAGGUUAUCAGUUGCACAGGUGGUGCAUGGUUGUCGUCAGCUCGUGUCGUGAGAUGUUGGGUUAAGUCCCGCAACGAGCGCAACCCUUAUUGUUAGUUGCCAGCACGUAAUGGUGGGGACUUUAGCAAGACUGCCAGUGAUAAAUUGGAGGAAGGUGGGGACGACGUCAAAUCAUCAUGCCCCUUAUGACCUGGGCUACAAACGUGAUACAAUGGCUGUUAC
RNAcentral lists this ribosomal RNA (816 nucleotides) under Syrah grapevine phytoplasma. RNAcentral's name for it is "bacterial SSU rRNA". It matches the Rfam family "Bacterial small subunit ribosomal RNA", at positions 415 to 1240 of the family's 1533-position model. The record is from RNAcentral. Lineage: Bacteria; Bacillati; Mycoplasmatota; Mollicutes; Acholeplasmatales; Acholeplasmataceae.